Molecule: ribosomal RNA, 216 nt
Filed under: uncultured bacterium
Lineage: Bacteria
Description: partial 16S ribosomal RNA
Rfam family: Bacterial small subunit ribosomal RNA
Source: RNAcentral
UAGGUAACCUGCCUCUAAGAUUGGGAUAACUUGUCGAAAGACGAGCUAAUACCAAAUAAGACCACGGUCUCCUUGGGGACAGAGGUCAAAGGUAGCCUCUAUUUAUAAGCUAUCGCUGAGAGAUGGGCCUGCGUACCAUUAGCUUGUUGGUGAGGUAACGGCUCACCAAGGCAAAGAUGGUUAGCUGGUCUGAGAGGAUGAUCAGCCACACUGGAA